This 253-nucleotide ribosomal RNA is filed under the name uncultured bacterium. RNAcentral's name for it is "partial 16S ribosomal RNA". It matches the Rfam family "Bacterial small subunit ribosomal RNA", at positions 524 to 776 of the family's 1533-position model. The record is from RNAcentral.
UACGGAGGAUGCAAGCGUUAUCCGGAAUGAUUGGGCGUAAAGCGUCCGCAGGUGGCUGUGUAAGUCUGCUGUCAAAGAGCAAAGCUCAACUUUGUAAAGGCAGUGGAAACUACACGGCUAGAGUGCGUUCGGGGCAGAGGGAAUUCCUGGUGUAGCGGUGAAAUGCGUAGAGAUCAGGAAGAACACCGGUGGCGAAGGCGCUCUGCUAGGCCGCAACUGACACUGAGGGACGAAAGCUAGGGGAGCGAACGGG